This 231-nucleotide long non-coding RNA is filed under the name Brassica napus (rape). RNAcentral's name for it is "long non-coding RNA (BNAP_LNC010860)". Lineage: Eukaryota; Viridiplantae; Streptophyta; Magnoliopsida; Brassicales; Brassicaceae. The record is from RNAcentral.
UUCGAGCACAGGGUGGACAGCAGCUGAGGCAGAAAGCACAGGGUGCCACUGAGGCCAUUAAGGAAAAGACGGGAUUGAACAAAUGAGAAAGUUCAGUUUCAAAAAAAAACAAAUGAGAAAGCACGUUCCUAAUAAUAAUUUACUUUUUUAUUCCUACCAUACUACUACUACUACUAAUAAUUAGAUAGGUUUAUCUAUCUAAAGCCUAAGGAUUUCAAACGAAGCCAUUUA